UACGAAGGGGGCUAGCGUUGCUCGGAAUCACUGGGCGUAAAGGGUGCGUAGGCGGGUCUUUAAGUCAGGGGGGAAAUCCUGGAGCUCAACUCCAGAACUGCCUCCGAUGCUGAAAGGCUCGAGUCCGGGAGAGGUGAGUGGAACUGCGAGUGUAGAGGUGAAAUUCGUAGAUAUUCGCAAGAACACCAGUGGCGAAGGCGGCUCACUGGCCCGGUACUGACGCUGAGGUGCGAAAGCGUGGGGAGCAAACAGG
This 253-nucleotide ribosomal RNA is filed under the name uncultured bacterium. RNAcentral describes it as "partial 16S ribosomal RNA". It matches the Rfam family "Bacterial small subunit ribosomal RNA", at positions 524 to 776 of the family's 1533-position model. The record is from RNAcentral.